CAUUUCAAAAUUUUGUCUUUACUGUCCACUCUUUCAAUUUUUUAAAUAUGAGAGAGUUAACGAUACUUUGACUUCAAAAUUUAAGCUAAUUACUUUUAUAAAUAUAGUUACGGAAGAGUAGGAGAGAAUAUUCUAAUUCAAUCUGUAAAAAUAAAUGAUACAGUUAAAUUUCGAAAUCCAAGUUCCGUUAGCUAAUUGAAAUCAGACAAAUUAAAAAGUUAGUGUUGCUAGCCGAAUUUUCCGACCUUUGAUCCAGUCAAAGAUCCUCCUCGGGGAGCGUGUCGGAGUGAGGAACGGCUGUGGAUAAUGACCCUUGAAGUUUGCGCCCUUCGAUUGAUCAGGCGAUUCGGCUGACGAGGAAUCGGAUCAGCCGGGUUCGAAAUCUCUACAGUAAAUUUGGUUCAGCUGGAUGAGCCGAAUGAAUAAGAGAAAUCAGAAUUUCAACCAAGGAAUGAGCCGAAUGUCUAAUACAGCACAAGAACUGGUCGGCCCGAAGAGCCGAACACUGCCUUCUAUUGAAAGAGAACGGAAAAAGUAUAGAAAAGAGGGUUUUAGUUUACAACGGAGUGAUGCCUAAAGGGCAGACAGACUCCAGGAUGCUAAGUUACAGGAACUACUCCUAGGGAAAGCAGUAAAUGCGAGAAAGAAAGAUACGGAAAAAUAAGGGUGGUCUUCUGUGCGCAAGGACAAAGACCUCUUUUCAGGGUAUUAUUAUCCUAUUUAUAGAUGACCCCCUUGGUCAGUUAUUGCUCUUACACGAUCGGCCACUAUCUCCUCAUAUUCCGGACCACAUCUAACCGAUUAGAACCGCAUGUAACUGCUUGCGGUUAUCGUAACUUCUUUCAAUUGGCGCGAUUUAUUUUCCUUUACACUUUUCCGGUGCUCCCGGUGCACGACCAAAUAGAUGCUUUUGAAGGGAAUACCAGCACCGAUCUUGUCCGCGCUUAAUUGUCUCAACAGUU
RNAcentral lists this long non-coding RNA (962 nucleotides) under Ananas comosus (pineapple). RNAcentral's name for it is "long non-coding RNA (ACOM_LNC021882)". The record is from RNAcentral. Lineage: Eukaryota; Viridiplantae; Streptophyta; Magnoliopsida; Poales; Bromeliaceae.